RNAcentral lists this transfer RNA (72 nucleotides) under Camelus ferus (Wild Bactrian camel). It matches the Rfam family "tRNA". From Rfam's summary of the family: Transfer RNA (tRNA) molecules are approximately 80 nucleotides in length. Lineage: Eukaryota; Metazoa; Chordata; Mammalia; Artiodactyla; Camelidae. The record is from Rfam by way of RNAcentral.
GGAGGCAUAGCUCAGUGGUAGAGUGCUUGCUUAGCAUGCAUGAGGUUCUGGGUUCAAUCCCUAGCACCUCCA